AUAAAGUUUAAGAAAGGACAGGCUUUGAUAUUUGAAUUAAUAUUGAAGUAACAGUGUUCGUGAAGUUAUCAACAUUUUGUUUUUCAAUCAUUACUAAUAUACCAUAAUGAGGAGCUUCAUCAUCAUUACAGGACUGUUAGCACUCGCAGUCUGCUGUAAUGCUUCUGCUCUUACGAGACAAGAAGAUCCAUCCGAGGUUUACGUCACAACUACAGAGUAUGAAAAUGGAACGAUUGUAGAUGGUGCAGACUUUGCAUUUUCAAACGUGGGAUCUUUAUUAUCUGAGUGGCAUUGUGAAGCCCCGUCUAUUGUUGGACAGUCGCAGACGAUUACCUUAAAGUAUUUAGGUGAUUCUAGUGAAAGAAUAACAAGACGAGUUACAUCUAUUUACGGAGACCCUCAAUUAAUUCAGACUCCAUUGGGGAGUAAUGUCUAUGAAAUGACGCUUACUUCUCGUCCUGGUGUAAGGAUAGCUGCGAGUUUUUACAUAUACGGUUAAGGUCUUAAAGUUUGUUCGUAAACUUUACUGUACCCGAAUUCCAACUCUGCAUGGAUAUUGUUAUCCGAAAACAACACUAAAUUAUACAAACAAAUGAUAUU
Molecule: non-coding RNA, 600 nt
Organism: Spodoptera litura
Lineage: Eukaryota; Metazoa; Arthropoda; Insecta; Lepidoptera; Noctuidae
Source: RefSeq, a predicted model, not a curated record